AGAGUUUGAUCCUGGCUCAGGACGAACGCUGGCGGCGCGCCUAACACAUGCAAGUCGAGCGGAGCUCUUCGGAGCUUAGCGGCGGACGGGUGAGUAACGCGUGAGCAACCUGGCCCUCAGAGGGGGAUAACGUCUGGAAACGGACGCUAAUACCGCAUAACAUGGCGGGAUCGCAUGGUCCUGUUAUCAAAGGAGAAAUCCGCUGAAGGAUGGGCUCGCGUCCAAUUAGGUAGUUGGUGAGGUAACGGCUCACCAAGCCCGCGAUUGGUAGCCGGACUGAGAGGUUGGCCGGCCACAUUGGGACUGAGACACGGCCCAGACUCCUACGGGAGGCAGCAGUGGGGAAUAUUGGACAAUGGGGGCAACCCUGAUCCAGCCAUGCCGCGUGAGUGAUGAAGGCCUUAGGGUUGUAAAGCUCUUUCGUCAGGGAAGAUAAUGACGGUACCUGAAGAAGAAGCCCCGGCUAACUUCGUGCCAGCAGCCGCGGUAA
Molecule: ribosomal RNA, 490 nt
Filed under: uncultured bacterium
Lineage: Bacteria
Description: bacterial SSU rRNA
Rfam family: Bacterial small subunit ribosomal RNA
Source: RNAcentral